RNAcentral lists this ribosomal RNA (293 nucleotides) under uncultured bacterium. RNAcentral's name for it is "partial 16S ribosomal RNA". It matches the Rfam family "Archaeal small subunit ribosomal RNA", at positions 455 to 747 of the family's 1478-position model. The record is from RNAcentral.
GUGCCAGCCGCCGCGGUAAUACCGGCAGCACGAGUGAUGGCCGAUUUUAUUGGGCCUAAAGCGUCCGUAGCCGGCCAAGCAAGUUCGUCGGGAAAUCUGCCCGCUUAACGGGCAGGCGUCCGGCGAAAACUGUUUGGCUUGGGGCCGGAAGAUCCGAGGGGUACGUCCGGGGUAGGAGUGAAAUCCCGUAAUCCUGGACGGACCACCGGUGGCGAAAGCGCCUCGGAAAGACGGACCCGACGGUGAGGGACGAAAGCUAGGGUCUCGAACCGGAUUAGAAACCCCGGUAGUCC